Molecule: ribosomal RNA, 254 nt
Filed under: uncultured bacterium
Lineage: Bacteria
Description: partial 16S ribosomal RNA
Rfam family: Bacterial small subunit ribosomal RNA
Source: RNAcentral
GACGUAGGGCGCGAGCGUUGUCCGGAUUUAUUGGGCGUAAAGAGCUCGCAGGCGGCUUGUUGCGUCGACUGUGAAAGCCCGUGGCUUAACCGCGUGGUCUGCAGUCGAUACGGGCAGGCUAGAGUUCGGUAGGGGAGACUGGAAUUCCUGGUGUAGCGGUGAAAUGCGCAGAUAUCAGGAAGAACACCUAUGGCGAAGGCAGCUCUCUGGGACGGUACUGACGCUGAGACGCGAAAGCGUGGGGAGCGAACAGG